CGGAGAAAGAGGCGACGAAAGGGUACGCUGCCAAGGGUGGAGGAGGACCAGCUAGAACCAGCAGCGGCGGGCGGGCACCACUACGUGGGUGUCAUCUAGGCAAGAGAGGAGAGCGUGCUACGCAGCGGAGACGAGGAGGGCAGGGAGCGACGGUAGAGGGCCGGAAACCGAAGGAGACGGGGUUCUAGACACGCGCAGCGCCACCUUCUAGGCUCUUCCCUCCGCUCAGAGAGGGUGCCGCAGCGACAACGUGCCGAGCAAACGCAAGGAGAGUUUCCUGGUCCACCUCUUCGACUGCCCUCUCUUGGCCCUGCUCCGGAUACGGCGGCGGUUCUAUUACUUCGAGACGCGGCGACACCCGCUGCCGUCGUCGUGGUUCCACUACGGGCUCUCCGGUGGGGCCUAGGACGCGUCGGGUACCAGUGCCGGUUCGACCUCACCGCGAGGCCCAAGUACCGGGGGUUCGACCACAACCCGCGCCGCCGCUUCUGCGGUGUCUCAACGGGAUGCGACGGGGCGCGGUACCUCCUCCAAGUGCGACUUCCGAAACCUGUUCAAACUCCUAUGCAAACCAGGGAAACUAACACCGAAAUAUAAAAGAUUAUCUUUCAGAUCGUCCCAGACGUAUCUAGUCCGACCACUGCUGUUGGUAGACCUACUCGGCUCCGUACUAGAAAUGAUACUUCGUGUUUCAAAGAGUCUGUAAGAACUAUUACUCAUCUAUAUAGAUUGAUCACACUACCGAUGGCAACUGCUUUAUGUUCUACGAAACCCAAGACAACACCGUGUAAGUGUAACUCUAAAAUAAUGUUUGACAUCGAAGGUAGUUACAAGGACGAACGAGUGAAACACUUACUUCACUAUAUAGCCCCAGAGUUAAACGCGGACGGUACUAAGAUGAGGAGACAUACGAAGAUCCUUUGUACAUAAUAUAACGACAGGUAACGCCCAGUACCUUAGAGUUAAACGAAAACCGUACUUGGCUGGAAGAUAAUCAAGUGUUGAAAACCUGUCACGAUCGAUAAUGAAGAUUGGUGGAGAGUAGAGACAUUAGUCAGUAGAUCCGACAUUCUGACAACGAAGAUACAAGUAUAUUCGGGACCGGGUAGAAUGUUUAAAGAUAACAACAUAGAAUACAAAGGUUGGUUGUUGAACGUGUACUAACACGAUAACGUAUACUACACCAAAAUCAAAUAAGAGUACACUUGUUGGUUCUAUGAAGCAACUUCUCCGAGAGUAGCGAACGUACGUCUACACGGUGUGUUUAGUGUUUCUUCGUUCUCUUUUCUCGCCUCACGGAUGUACCGUGGCGUCGCCGUGCGGAGUCCGCCACGUCGUUCCGACACGGGGUUGUUGAUCACUAUCAUAGUAUCUAUUAUAGUACGUACGGUUGAUUUGUUAAAACUACUCUACCGUAUCUUAAUUUACUUCUUUCUCUACGAACUCGUAGUAUAGUACUAUAACAUAGUAUAAUUUACUACACGAUGAAACACAGUACGUACUGUUAUUUAUAUCAUGAGAUACU
Molecule: ribosomal RNA, 1525 nt
Filed under: Triticum aestivum (bread wheat)
Lineage: Eukaryota; Viridiplantae; Streptophyta; Magnoliopsida; Poales; Poaceae
Description: partial small subunit ribosomal RNA
Source: RNAcentral